RNAcentral lists this ribosomal RNA (996 nucleotides) under uncultured organism. RNAcentral's name for it is "bacterial SSU rRNA". It matches the Rfam family "Bacterial small subunit ribosomal RNA", at positions 356 to 1376 of the family's 1533-position model. The record is from RNAcentral.
GGGGGAUAUUGCACAAUGGGGGAAACCCUGAUGCAGCGACGCCGCGUGGAGGAAGAAGGUUUUCGGAUUGUAAACUCCUGUCGUUAGGGACGAUAAUGACGGUACCUAACAAGAAAGCACCGGCUAACUACGUGCCAGCAGCCGCGGUAAAACGUAGGGUGCAAGCGUUGUCCGGAAUUACUGGGUGUAAAGGGAGCGCAGGCGGACCGGCAAGUUGGAAGUGAAAUCCAUGGGCUCAACCCGUGAAUUGCUUUCAAAACUGCUGGCCUUGAGUAGUGCAGAGGUAGGUGGAAUUCCCGGUGUAGCGGUGGAAUGCGUAGAUAUCGGGAGGAACACCAGUGGCGAAGGCGACCUACUGGGCACCAACUGACGCUGAGGCUCGAAAGCAUGGGUAGCAAACAGGAUUAGAUACCCUGGUAGUCCAUGCCGUAAACGAUGAUUACUAGGUGUUGGAGGAUUGACCCCUUCAGUGCCGCAGUUAACACAAUAAGUAAUCCACCUGGGGAGUACGACCGCAAGGUUGAAACUCAAAGGAAUUGACGGGGGCCCGCACAAGCAGUGGAGUAUGUGGUUUAAUUCGAAGCAACGCGAAGAACCUUACCAGGUCUUGACAUCCGAUGCAUAGUGCAGAGAUGCAUGAAGUCCUUCGGGACAUCGAGACAGGUGGUGCAUGGUUGUCGUCAGCUCGUGUCGUGAGAUGUUGGGUUAAGUCCCGCAACGAGCGCAACCCUUAUUGCCAGUUACUGCGUAAGAGGACUCUGGCGAGACUGCCGUUGACAAAACGGAGGAAGGUGGGGAUGACGUCAAAUCAUCAUGCCCUUUAUGAUCUGGGCUACACACGUACUACAAUGGCGUUUAACAAAGAGAAGCAAGACCGCGAGGUGGAGCAAAACUCAGAAACAACGUCUCAGUUCAGAUUGCAGGCUGCAACUCGCCUGCAUGAAGUCGGAAUUGCUAGUAAUCGCGGAUCAGCAUGCCGCGGUGAAUACGUUCCCG